This 250-nucleotide ribosomal RNA is filed under the name uncultured bacterium. RNAcentral's name for it is "partial 16S ribosomal RNA". It matches the Rfam family "Bacterial small subunit ribosomal RNA", at positions 524 to 773 of the family's 1533-position model. The record is from RNAcentral.
UACGAAGGGGGCGAGCGUUAUUCGGAAUCACUGGGCGUAAAGCGUGCGUAGGCUGCUUGGAAAGUUGGAAGUGAAAGCCCAGGGCUCAACCCUGGAAUUGCUUUCAAAACUACCAGGCUCGGAUUCGGGAGAGGAUAGCGGAAUUGUCAGUGUAGCAGUGAAAUGCGUAGAUAUUGACAGGAACACCAGUGGCGCAAGCGGCUAUCUGGACCGACAUCGACGCUGAGGCACGAAAGCGUGGGGAUCAAAC